RNAcentral lists this transfer RNA (50 nucleotides) under Sulfitobacter sp. RNAcentral's name for it is "tRNA-Ser". It matches the Rfam family "tRNA", at positions 26 to 71 of the family's 71-position model. Rfam says of the family: Transfer RNA (tRNA) molecules are approximately 80 nucleotides in length. Their secondary structure includes four short double-helical elements and three loops (D, anti-codon, and T loops). Further hydrogen bonds mediate the characteristic L-shaped molecular structure. tRNAs have two regions of fundamental functional importance: the anti-codon, which is responsible for specific mRNA codon recognition, and the 3' end, to which the tRNAs corresponding amino acid is attached (by aminoacyl-tRNA synthetases). tRNAs cope with the degeneracy of the genetic code in two manners: having more than one tRNA (with a specific anti-codon) for a particular amino acid; and 'wobble' base-pairing, i.e. permitting non-standard base-pairing at the 3rd anti-codon position. Lineage: Bacteria; Pseudomonadati; Pseudomonadota; Alphaproteobacteria; Rhodobacterales; Roseobacteraceae. The record is from RNAcentral.
CUGCCCUCCGAAGGCAGAGGCCAGAGGUUCGAAUCCUCUAGGGUCCGCCA